RNAcentral lists this ribosomal RNA (776 nucleotides) under uncultured Neocallimastigales. Its description in RNAcentral is "partial large subunit ribosomal RNA". It matches the Rfam family "Eukaryotic large subunit ribosomal RNA", at positions 24 to 649 of the family's 3401-position model. The record is from RNAcentral. Lineage: Eukaryota; Fungi; Neocallimastigomycota; Neocallimastigomycetes; Neocallimastigales.
UACGACUACAUAUCAGGCAUAUCAAUAAGCGGAGGAAAAGAAACUAACAAGGAUUCCCCUAGUAACGGCGAGUGAAGCGGGAAGAGCUCAAAUUUGAAAUCUUAAAGGGUUUCCCUUUACGAAUUGUAGUUUAAAGAAGUGUUUUCUGUUGGAGUUUCGGUAAAAGUUCCUUGGAAUAGGGACAUCAUAGAGGGUGAGAAUCCCGUAUUUGACCGUUACUUUCCAGCUGUGUGAUACACUUUCAAAGAGUCGGAUUGUUUGGGAAUGCAGUCCAAGAUGGGUGGUAAAUUUCAUCUAAAGCUAAAUAUUGGCGAGAGACCGAUAGCGAACAAGUACCGUGAGGGAAAGAUGAAAAGAACUUUGAAAAGAGAGUUAAACAGUACGUGAAAUUGUCAAAAGGGAAGCGUUUGACACCAGUGUUGUUUAGUUGAAAAUCAAUUCAAUAGUUUUUGAUUCUAAGUAGUAUUGACUUCAUCAGCUUGCUGCUUUCUUCUCAGAAAUUAUUGAAUGCACUUUUCAGUUAACAAGUCAACAUCAAUUUCUUUUGUUGUAAAAGGGUAAGAGGAAGGUGGCUUGCGCUUCGGCUCAAGUGUUUAUAGCCUUUUAUCUCUGCAAUCGGAGAGAUUGAGGUCUGCAGCGUAGAUCCUUCGGGGUUAGAUACAUUGGUGCUAAGCUAUAGCCUUGUAUAGACAACUUGUUGACUAUGCUCAGUCAUGUAGCUUACUCGCUGAUGCUAUUUUACCUACGCUUAGGAUGUUGAGUAGCGACAUACGCAC